This 606-nucleotide ribosomal RNA is filed under the name uncultured bacterium. Its description in RNAcentral is "bacterial SSU rRNA". It matches the Rfam family "Bacterial small subunit ribosomal RNA", at positions 248 to 844 of the family's 1533-position model. The record is from RNAcentral.
GUUGGUGAGGUAACGGCUCACCUAGGCAAUGAUAGGUAGGCGGCCUUAACGGGUGGUCGCCCACACUGGGAUUGAGAUACGGCCCAGACUCCUACGGGAGGCAGCAGUCGAGAAUAGUCUACAAUGGUCGGAAGACUGAUAGUGCGACGCCGCGUGAACGAUGAAUCCCUUCGGGGUGUAAAGUUCUUUUAUAUGUGAGCAGUGCUUCUUAUAUUAAGAGUAUGGGGAGAGAGAUAUUAGCAUAUGAAUAAGCAACGGCUAACUCCGUGCCAGCAGCCGCGGUAACACGGGGGUCGCGAGCGUUGUCCGGAAUUACUAGGCGUAAAGGGCAGGCAGGCGGAUCCAUAAGUUUAUCGUUUAAGGCGUCGGCUUAACCGGCGUAGGGCGGUAGAUACUGUGGAUCUGGAAUGCGGUUGGGGAAGACAGAAUUCCUGGUGUAGCGGUGGAAUGCGCAGAGAUCAGGAGGAAUACCGAAGGCGAAGGCAGUCUUCCAAGCCGUUAUUGACGCUCAACUGCGAAGGUGUGGGUAUCAAACAGGAUUAGAUACCCUGGUAGUCCACACAGUAAACGAUAAUCACUGGGUGUCGGGUUCGCAUAGGAUUCGGU